Molecule: unclassified non-coding RNA, 22 nt
Filed under: Mus musculus (house mouse)
Lineage: Eukaryota; Metazoa; Chordata; Mammalia; Rodentia; Muridae
Description: oocyte_clustered_small_RNA3382
Source: RNAcentral
UGCUGAAGCACACUCAGUCUAU